GUUGACCUCGGAUCAGGUAGGAAUACCCGCUGAACUUAAGCAUAUCAAUAAGCGGAG
This 57-nucleotide ribosomal RNA is filed under the name Colletotrichum truncatum. Its description in RNAcentral is "partial 28S ribosomal RNA". It matches the Rfam family "Eukaryotic large subunit ribosomal RNA", at positions 1 to 55 of the family's 3401-position model. RNAcentral also lists the same sequence under 4 other names. The record is from RNAcentral. Lineage: Eukaryota; Fungi; Ascomycota; Sordariomycetes; Glomerellales; Glomerellaceae.